Anas platyrhynchos (mallard) is the source of this 727-nucleotide non-coding RNA. The record is from RefSeq and is a predicted model, not a curated record. Lineage: Eukaryota; Metazoa; Chordata; Aves; Anseriformes; Anatidae.
AGUGGGGGAGCUGCCUGUAAGAGAGAACAGGGCCCAGCUGGUACUUUUUUCUCUGUGGGGUUUGGCUUGUACCUGCCCUUUGAGAUAGGGAAAUGUUGUGAGAGCACAGAUGUUUAGUUCUUUGGUGAAAACCUUCAGAAAAUAUGAUUCUGCUCAGCCUGAAGUUGAAUUGCCCGUUCUGAGGGGAAAAGUGCUCACGUUGUCUGGCUUUGGUUGCUUCCCAUGUUUCUUGAGGCUGGAGAGCUGGAAGUGCUGCUGGAGAUAACUGCUGUUAAUGCCCCGACAUGAUAAGCUGCUGGUUUCUAAAUCCCCUUCACUUUGUCAGCACCCUUCUGCCUCAUGGAAUGGAGAGCUGCCAGACUGGUGUAUCAUCUCCCUGGGGCCUGCUGCCCACAUACCAGACUGCACUAUCAUUCUGGAAAGGCAACUGCAGGACCUCCUAUAUUACUGUUCAGCUCCCCUGCAUCUGGCAAGUGUCAUUCUUUGGGAUUAAAAAGUAAAUUAUUUUCCAUCGUUUCUAGUGCUUAAAAAUAAUGCAUCUUUUCUCCUCAUCUGGGGACUUCCAUCACUAACAGGAGCAUAACUUUAAAAGCUUUUUUAACUGUCUGCUGGUGUAAGAACUCUGUAUAGCACUGUUAAGCCAAAAGACACUUCUUUAUAGCAAUAUUAAAGGUGAAUUUAUAGGUAUGUUUUAGAAUCUGCUCCUCUAAAAUUCUUUGUGCUCUAG